Molecule: long non-coding RNA, 349 nt
Filed under: Androctonus crassicauda
Lineage: Eukaryota; Metazoa; Arthropoda; Arachnida; Scorpiones; Buthidae
Source: RNAcentral
UUGGAAGAACAAAGCUGAAUCAACAAGGGACAUUCCUAAAUUCCCGAUUGAAUACGCCUGCUAAUGAUAAGUGAUUUCUCGCCCACAUUACUGAUAACGAAAAACAGCAAUAAAAGGUCAAGAAAUUUUAGAAGAGUCAGUCAGUUCAGUCAGCCAAUUCCGAGAGUCAAAAAUAGAAAGAGUUGCCCAAGGGUCACCAAACAGACCAGACGUGUCUGCGAGUCGUUCCGAGGUCUCCACACAGACCGGACGUCUCCGGAAGUCUGCUCUAGCCAGACUCUGGACAGAAGAUGAGGAAAAUGUAACAGUGAAGAAGAUUCCGUGUCCCGUCCUGUUGGGGACAUCCGAC